Molecule: ribosomal RNA, 600 nt
Filed under: uncultured Methanomicrobiaceae archaeon
Lineage: Archaea; Methanobacteriati; Methanobacteriota; Methanomicrobia; Methanomicrobiales; Methanomicrobiaceae
Description: bacterial SSU rRNA
Rfam family: Archaeal small subunit ribosomal RNA
Source: RNAcentral
CUGUGUAAAUAACAGGUGAAGAAAGGGCCGGGCAAGACCGGUGCCAGCCGCCGCGGUAAUACCGGCGGCUCGAGUGGUGGCCACUAUUACUGGGCUUAAAGCGUUCGUAGCUGGUCUGUUAAGUCUCUGGGGAAAUCUACUGGCUUAACCAAUAGGCGUCUCAGGGAUACUGGCAGACUAGGGACCGGGAGAGGUGAGAGGUACUCCAGGGGUAGGAGUGAAAUCCUGUAAUCCUUGGGGGACCACCUGUGGCGAAGGCGUCUCACCAGAACGGCUCCGACAGUGAGGGACGAAAGCUGGGGGAGCAAACCGGAUUAGAUACCCGGGUAGUCCCAGCCGUAAACGAUGCGCGUUAGGUGUAUCGGUGACCACGAGUCACCGAGGUGCCGAAGAGAAAUCGUGAAACGUGCCGCCUGGGAAGUACGGUCGCAAGGCUGAAACUUAAAGGAAUUGGCGGGGGAGCACCACAACAGGUGGAGCCUGCGGUUUAAUCGGACUCAACGCCGGAAAUCUCACCGGAUAAGACAGCUGGAUGAUAGUCGGGCUGAAGACUCUACUUGACUAGCUGAGAGGAGGUGCAUGGCCGUCGUCAGUUCGUAU